GUAACUUCCUAUUCAUGGUCGUGGCCUCCUAGCCCCAAAUAUUGCAGCGGCGACCCAAGGCCUCCUCCUCACAAAUGCUCAUCAAACCACCUAAUAAAUCUCAACAUUCAUGACUGGAAACUUCUCGACUGAAUUCAUCCGGCGCAGCCUCGAGGUUAAAAACCACACCAUGCUACCGUCCGCAUCAAACACUACCUGGCCGCUCCCCAUUUAAUUCCCCCAUUGAUUUCUCCAAUCCCUCAACAUAUAUUCCAAAUCUGCCAGCUUGAGCUCUGGCUUCAGAUCCGCUCGACAUUUUACACCCGAUUUGGUUUGAUUAUGCCUGCUGCUACCUCAAAUCCCCUCAUUUCUGGCUUGAGACCCGCUUGCCAUUUUUCCCCAUGCAUCUGAUUUGAUUUGAUCCUGCCUGCUGCUACCUCAAAUUCAUCGAUUUAUUUGAUUUUAUUGAAUUCUCGGUCUUUUGCUGAAGCUAGAAGAAACAUGAAAUCAUCGCCUGUAUUGCGUCUAUUUUAAAUCUUCUGCUUCCAUUGGUACACAAAUUCUAAUCUCCUGCUCUUAAAUUUUAAUUUACAUUGGAUGAGCACAUGCAUCCAUUUAACCUUUAUUUUAGUUUCCGCCCUUCGAUUGUAGCACAAUAUUACAUCAUUUCUGUUGUUUUACCACAGUUGAAAUUUAAAUUUUCCCUUUUUGUUAGGUUCAGGUGUGGAUGAAGACGAAUUUCACAUGAUGGAUAAUCAAGAAAAUGAUUAUGUAGGGAAGGAGGAGUCAUGACUUAAAAUACUGUAGGGGAAUUUGAUAGUGGUGGUGAAAAUAUAGGCACGGACAAAAUCUCUAAACUUUUUGCCAGUUUGGCAUGGUUCAAGGGUUUGUUAGAUGCUUUGAUUUUCAUUGGAGGCAAUAAAUCAUCUUCAACUCCUAAAUUCUGGAUGGUAAUAUCAAUACCAAAAGAUACAUGCAUCAGUCGACGGUCUUUCAAUUCUUUAAAUGUAAAUGGAGUAUAUAUAGAUCAGUUGGCUUAGUCCACGAAUAUGUGUUUAUUGUUCUAGGAUUUUAUUUCUUCUUAUAUCCUGGGUUUUAAGUAAUUUGAGAAGACUUUGCCAGCCAUUUAUGUACGGUAUGCCAUCUAAAUUAUACUAGAAACACUUCAACGUGGAAAGUGGUACUUUCUUCUCACAAAAAACCCUUGCAUCCGUGGUGCUCUA
This is a long non-coding RNA of Lolium rigidum, 1202 nucleotides long. RefSeq lists it as uncharacterized. The record is from RefSeq and is a predicted model, not a curated record. The transcript has 3 exons. NCBI's taxonomy places the organism in Eukaryota, Viridiplantae, Streptophyta, Magnoliopsida, Poales, Poaceae.